This 154-nucleotide ribosomal RNA is filed under the name uncultured fungus. RNAcentral describes it as "partial 5.8S ribosomal RNA". It matches the Rfam family "5.8S ribosomal RNA". Rfam says of the family: 5.8S ribosomal RNA (5.8S rRNA) is a component of the large subunit of the eukaryotic ribosome. The record is from RNAcentral. Lineage: Eukaryota; Fungi.
AACUUUUAGCAAUGGAUCUCUUGGCUCUCGCAUCGAUGAAGAACGCAGCGAAUUGCGAUAUGUAAUGUGAAUUGCAGAAUUCAGUGAAUCAUCGAAUCUUUGAACGCACCUUGCGCCCUUUGGUAUUCCGAAGGACAUGCCUGUUUGAGUGUCA